UUAAUUGAAACCAAAUAGAGGUAUAUCACUGUUAAUGAUACCAUUGAAUUCUAAACUCCAAUUAAA
Molecule: transfer RNA, 66 nt
Filed under: Battus polydamas (gold-rim swallowtail)
Lineage: Eukaryota; Metazoa; Arthropoda; Insecta; Lepidoptera; Papilionidae
Description: tRNA-Asn
Source: RNAcentral